RNAcentral lists this ribosomal RNA (443 nucleotides) under Staphylococcus aureus. Its description in RNAcentral is "partial 23S ribosomal RNA". It matches the Rfam family "Bacterial large subunit ribosomal RNA", at positions 1716 to 2158 of the family's 2925-position model. The record is from RNAcentral. Lineage: Bacteria; Bacillati; Bacillota; Bacilli; Caryophanales; Staphylococcaceae.
GGCAAAAUGACCCCGUAACUUCGGGAGAAGGGGUGCUCUUUAGGGUUAACGCCCAGAAGAGCCGCAGUGAAUAGGCCCAAGCGACUGUUUAUCAAAAACACAGGUCUCUGCUAAACCGUAAGGUGAUGUAUAGGGGCUGACGCCUGCCCGGUGCUGGAAGGUUAAGAGGAGUGGUUAGCUUCUGCGAAGCUACGAAUCGAAGCCCCAGUAAACGGCGGCCGUAACUAUAACGGUCCUAAGGUAGCGAAAUUCCUUGUCGGGUAAGUUCCGACCCGCACGAAAGGCGUAACGAUUUGGGCACUGUCUCAACGAGAGACUCGGUGAAAUCAUAGUACCUGUGAAGAUGCAGGUUACCCGCGACAGGACGGAAAGACCCCGUGGAGCUUUACUGUAGCCUGAUAUUGAAAUUCGGCACAGCUUGUACAGGAUAGGUAGGAGCCUUU